This 484-nucleotide ribosomal RNA is filed under the name uncultured bacterium. RNAcentral describes it as "partial 16S ribosomal RNA". It matches the Rfam family "Bacterial small subunit ribosomal RNA", at positions 28 to 523 of the family's 1533-position model. The record is from RNAcentral.
GACGAACGCUGGCGGCGUGCUUAACACAUGCAAGUCGAACGGGAUCCAUGUUGUAGCAAUACUUCGGAAGAUCUAGUGGCGAACGGGUGAGGAACACGUGAGAAACCUGCCCCGAACUUCGGGAUAACAGUUGGAAACGAUUGCUAAUACCGAAUACCUCUGCGAAGUGGCAUCACUUUGCAAAGAAAGAAUUUCGGUUCGGGAGGGUCUCGCGGCCUAUCAGCUAGUUGGUGGGGUAACGGCCUACCAAGGCAUCGACGGGUAGCUGGUCUGAGAGGAUGAUCAGCCACACUGGGACUGAGACACGGCCCAGACUCCUACGGGAGGCAGCAGUGGGGAAUCUUGUGCAAUGGGCGAAAGCCUGACACAGCAACGCCGCGUGCGGGAAGAAGGCCUUCGGGUCGUAAACCGCCUUCAGCAGGAACGAAAAUGACGGUACCUGCAGAAGAAGGUGCGGCCAACUACGUGCCAGCAGCCGCAGUAA